This is a small nucleolar RNA of Gossypium arboreum, 107 nucleotides long. It matches the Rfam family "Plant small nucleolar RNA R71". Rfam says of the family: R71 is a member of the C/D box family of snoRNAs containing the C (UGAUGA) and D (CUGA) box motifs. The record is from Rfam. Lineage: Eukaryota; Viridiplantae; Streptophyta; Magnoliopsida; Malvales; Malvaceae.
GUACCAUGAUGUGGACACUUCCAUAACGACUCCUUGAAAUGUUCCGAUGCCUCAUAUAAGAAUUCAUCAUCGUAUUGUUGCAACAUAGUAAUUUCAUUCCUAAGCUU